CCUACGGGUGGCAGCAGUGGGGAAUAUUGGGCAAUGGGCGCAAGCCUGACCCAGCAACGCCGCGUGAAGGAAGAAGGCUUUCGGGUUGUAAACUUCUUUUCUGAGGGAAGAAGAAAGUGACGGUACUUCCUGAAUAAGCCACGGCUAACUACGUGCCAGCAGCCGCGGUAAUACGGAGGUGGCAAGCGUUAUCCGGAUUUAUUGGGUGUAAAGGGCGUGUAGGCGGGAAAGCAAGUCAGAUGUGAAAAUUUAGGGCUCAACCCUGAGACUGCAUUUGAUACUGGUUUUCUUGAGUGCUGGGGAGGCAAUCGGAAUUCCGGGUGUAGCGGUGAAAUGCGUAGAUAUACGGAGGAACACCAGUGGCGAAGGCGGAUUGCUGGACAGUAACUGACGCUGAGGCGCGAAAGCGUGGGGAGCAAACAGGAUUAGAUACCCGAGUAGUC
RNAcentral lists this ribosomal RNA (443 nucleotides) under uncultured bacterium. Its description in RNAcentral is "partial 16S ribosomal RNA". It matches the Rfam family "Bacterial small subunit ribosomal RNA", at positions 338 to 795 of the family's 1533-position model. The record is from RNAcentral.